Molecule: ribosomal RNA, 263 nt
Filed under: uncultured archaeon
Lineage: Archaea
Description: partial 16S ribosomal RNA
Rfam family: Archaeal small subunit ribosomal RNA
Source: RNAcentral
AGUCACUGACAUUAGAUACCCGUGUAGUCCAGGGUGUAAACGCUGCAGACUUGGUGUUGGAGGCCCUUUGGGGGCAUUCAGUGCCGGAGAGAAGUUGUUAAGUCUGCUACUUGGGAGUACGUCCGCAAGGAUGAAACUUAAGGAAUUGGCGGGGGAGCACCGCAACGGGAGGAGCGUGCGGUUUAAUUGGAUUCAACACCGUAAAACUCACCAGGGAAGACUGUUACAUGAAGGCCGAGAUGAAGACUCUGCUAGAUUUUCAG